AAAUGCCCGUGUAUUUGGUGGGAGCUGUUAAUUUGCAUAUCACCACAGCUACAGUUUUAUUUCAUAGUGCGGUGUUAUCAUGAAACAUUCAAGCCCUGCAUACACCCGCAUCAAAGAAAUAAUGAUUUAACAGAUCAGAGAGGGUUAAGGAAGCCCUGUAUUUUCGUCAAUGUGGAAAUACUUUGGGCCCCCCUCUCCACUAAUGUCUUUACCGAGGAGGCCGGGCUGCCCAGCCCACCGCGCCGAGGGAUGCCAGACAAUGGGGUGCGUGCUCCUGGAUCUCCGUACCCCAGAAACAACCCCACGCCCACGGCCCGGAGUCAGACCGGCCUCCCCUGAGCCUUCCUUCACAGCCGGUCCUCCCUCUCCCUCCAACAGGCUGGUUCGAGGUCCAGAGCUCUGGCCAGUGGCCACACAUAAAGCCAGGCAGCGUGCUGAUGGAUGGGGCAGGAGGAAGCAGAGGAGCCCUUGAAGUUGGUAAUAAAUGUGACAGGCCCUGCCGGAUGAGGCUGUGCAUAAUCUCUCUCCGAUGCUCCCGUAUUACCUUUUCUUCCAUUUAUUUUUAUUUUCAUUUUUCCUUUUCAUUUUAUUGAAGUCCCUCUCGUCAUCCCGGCUCCUCCUUUUCUGUGUAGGCACUAAUAAUGACAAUGAAUAACAUUUAAGGAUGCACUUCUUAUUUUUUAUCGCCACUUUUAAUAACAAAAUGUUGACUUGCUGUGGAAUUAGUAGAGACUUCAAAAUCAGAACUCUGACGCAUAAAUGUUUUUUGUAAAGAAUAUUUUGAAUUAUAAUAAUUCCAAUCUGAUUCCAAAUAAUUCGCAAAAAUGAUAGUGAUCGCGCAAUGUUGCUUUUCAGGUUUCAUUUUCCUGACCAUAAUGCGUGAAGAGAGUGAAAGAAGAAAAUUAUAAAUAUACUAAAAAACAUUGAUAUAUUUAUAAAUGCAUCGAUAAUAUAUAUUCAUAAACAUAUGUAUGCAUACAUAUAUUUAAAAAUAUACAUGUUUAAUAAUUCACACUGUAAAUACUCCUCCAGUUGAAACACCAUUCCUAUUGGACAGUGUUGACGCAGUCAGCGGAGCUGCUGGUGUCUGUGAGUGUGCAUGUGUGUGUGUGUGUGUGUGUGUGUAUGUGUGUGUGUGUGUGUGUGUGUGUGUGUGUGUGUGUGUGUGUGUGUGUGUGUGUGUGUGUGUGUCCAAAAGGGCCGUCUCCUCUGGGAGGUGAUCUGAACGACCUCCAAUAACCUCCAGUCCUUCCUGGAUGUCCAACAAGUCGCUCAGAGCUGUCAGGGGGUCUUUCAUACCAGGCCAGUGUCAAUAUGUUAACCAUGCUCACGCGCAACAAAAAGGAUCGAACCGCAAAUUAACUCUCUCAAUUAAUUUGAAUUAUGGAUUUCUCGUGUACGUGUAAACCUUGCACUUUGAAUUAUGAAUAAAUGACAUCGCUUAUGGCCAUAUUUAUGUGUACACUCAUCAGAUAAUGCAUUCAGGUUGUGAGGAAUGUGUUGCAUCUCCCUUACCACAUCUGCUACUAUUAAAUAUAAAACUAAUACUUCAAACCUUUUUCUCUUUCUUUUUUUAUAUAAAUUAUGUUUUUUUUUUAUAUCUGGCAACAACCAAAUUACUUUAGAAAAAUAAUAUUGUAUAAGUGAGAAUGACAAAUGUUAACAUUACUCUAACACAAGGUCACAAUUAAAAAAUGUCUGUUCAUUCACCUCGAACGAUGACUGAGUUCAGGCCUGCCAUACCCCUUAUUUCCCUCAUGAUCACGGUGUGUUCAUCAGUUUAUCAGGAAGAAUAAAUACAAAGCAUGUAUAAACUAAGCAUUACAAAUACAUGUACAUUCUGCGCUGAUAUUCUCACCGAAGGUCAUCGUAACAGCAAGGUGGAAAUAAAUGAAUAAAAUGAUUAAAUCAUUUCAUACGCCUCUCUGCCCAUGACAAUAACUCCAGUAUGAUUCAGCAUUGGAUGUCAAAGAUCUCCUUGGCGUGUGUUCAUCUUGCACCGUCUGAGGCCUGCUCUAACACCACCAUCAGCA
Molecule: long non-coding RNA, 2033 nt
Organism: Gadus macrocephalus (Pacific cod)
Lineage: Eukaryota; Metazoa; Chordata; Actinopteri; Gadiformes; Gadidae
Exons: 2
Source: RefSeq, a predicted model, not a curated record